This is a long non-coding RNA of Uloborus diversus, 538 nucleotides long. RefSeq lists it as uncharacterized. The record is from RefSeq and is a predicted model, not a curated record. Lineage: Eukaryota; Metazoa; Arthropoda; Arachnida; Araneae; Uloboridae. The transcript is spliced from 4 exons.
UGUGAUGUGAGUCAUUUUGUGUUGUGAGUAAGAGUUAAAUUGGUUGAUUUGAAUGACCGAAAGUGCAAGAAACAUCGCUCGAUUUUCUUUUAAAAUUGUUUUUUUAAACAUUGAAUUCGUUUCUUGCACAGAAAAUGGCUGACAAUAUUAAUAUUGGUGAAGACACUAUUUCAUUCGAUGGAAGUUCAAUUUUUGAUUUUGAUAGUUUUGAGUCAAUGUAUGACGGGUUUUAUAGUGUUCAACAGCUGGACGAUGUUCAUCAGGCAGUUAUUCUUGGAGCGUUUGUUUCAAUUACUGGAAAAAAUUACUAGCAUUCAAGCAAUUCUUUCCACUGGUGUGUGUAGAAAUUUAUCUUCGAAAGCAUUUGUAAGGUCUUCUGUAUAGAUAUUACUUGUAAAAUUAUAUUUUAAUCCUUUCCACUUUGAGUGCCUCUUAUCCUUGUUCAAAGGUGGAUAUAGAAUUUUUUUUUUGAGUGACUAAAGAUUGCUUUAAAAUUUACACAGGUAGAUAUAUAUAUAUGUUCUUGUUAAAUGUUAUA